Molecule: transfer RNA, 67 nt
Filed under: Dipodomys ordii (Ord's kangaroo rat)
Lineage: Eukaryota; Metazoa; Chordata; Mammalia; Rodentia; Heteromyidae
Rfam family: tRNA
About the family: Transfer RNA (tRNA) molecules are approximately 80 nucleotides in length. Their secondary structure includes four short double-helical elements and three loops (D, anti-codon, and T loops).
Source: Rfam by way of RNAcentral
GGGAAGGUGGCUCAGUGGAAGAGUGCUUGCCUUGCAUGCAUGAGGCCCUGGGUUCGAUUCCUCUCCA